This is a long non-coding RNA of Phacochoerus africanus (Common warthog), 7352 nucleotides long. RefSeq lists it as uncharacterized. The record is from RefSeq and is a predicted model, not a curated record. Lineage: Eukaryota; Metazoa; Chordata; Mammalia; Artiodactyla; Suidae. The transcript is spliced from 2 exons.
CAGCAGCUGUGGCUCUGAUUCAAUCCCUAGGCUGAGAACUUCCUCAGAACUUGAGAACUGUGCCACAGGUGCAGCCCUGAAAAGAAAAAAAAAAAAAAAAAAGGGUCAGUCCAAAAACCUGGAAAAGGCCAGCCACUUCUGGUGGUCACAACCAAGCAAAACCAAGUGUUCCCAGUUUUUUGCAAACAAACCAGAAAUCCUCUCCCUUCUCCCUGGAGGGGCCAGCUCUAGAAUAGCUGUGUGAGCCUGCCCUCUUGUGGCCAAAACUGGCAGUGCGUAUGUAACCUAUUGCUGGAGCCUACCUGAAAUAGAUUAAUUUUGAAGGUCUUUUCAAAAGAUUUUCUCCGUGACUCUCUCUCUACACAUGUCACUCCAUCUCCAGUGCUGAAUCAUUGUGCUUUGGCAUCUUUCUAAUCCAUACUUUGCCCUCUUUUGCCUCCAAAGUCAAAACUUUCCAAUAAGUUCUCCCACUGGUUUCCUAACUGAUCUUUUUAAAAUGUAAAUCUGAUUGUCUUUCUCUUACUCAGAGUCCUUUAAUGGCUCCUCCUUUUCCAGGUUCCAGUUUUUCUCUCAGAAGAUCCUGAGGCCUGCUUCUCUUCCUGGACUGUAUCUUUACCUGUGCUUCUCUCUCUCCCUCGCCUGUUCACCUGCUGACACCUGCUUAUUCUACCUAGGAUUUGUCUCAGGUAUCACCUCCUCCAGCGAGCCCUCUGCGUUAUGUUAGAUAAUGUGAUGUAUGUGAUGUAAUUGAGAGAGGAGACUUUUUUUCUGUAUCACAGUGUCUGGCAUGUUACUGUCGCUCGCUACUUAUAGAAGGAAUAAAGAAGACAGGAUAAAACAGGUGAAGACCCAGAUCACUGAGUGUUCCUCUUGGGUGUGACGGAGCUGGGCCGAGAGUAAAGGCACGCAGCCCGGCAGUGCAGGUGGAAAGGUGCUCCAUCACCUGUCACCUCUCAGGGCAGCCCCAGUCCCCUCUCCUCCUGCCCAGUCGGUCAUCUUUGAGCAUGCUUCAGCCACGCCACUCUCACUCGAGUGGCUUCUGUGGAAGAGUUCCAGCUUCUUUACCCUGGCUGUCCGGACUCCGUCCACCUGGACCACACACCAUUUUUGACAUGUGCCCUAGUUAGCGUCCAGCGUCUAGGACUCAGGAAUUAUUUGCUGAUGGACUUAACUACUUACUGACAGGCAGUAUGGCAAAAGCGCAUCCUGAAGUGUCCACUAAGACGUGUGCUAAACCAACUAUACUUUAGUUUUUUGAAAAGAGCAAGGAAGGAGAAAAGACAUGAGCUUCCGACCAUCUGUGGGUUUGAGGCGCUGUGCUGGCCGCAGUGCCCAUUAGAGAGCUCUGUGCCUGCACAGAGCUGACAGCCCAGCCGGGGAGGAGAUGGAACAGUGCAGGCCACGCUAGGAAACCAGCAGCAGAAAUGACCGUGUCGCAAGGCAGUGUGUGGUUAAUGGCCAGACACACGGCUCAAGAACGAAUCAUGUAGGUCCUCCACUCCAAAAGGACGGAAGCCAGCCCGGCCGCCUGUUGACCCACGUCACACAGCACAGGUACCCUGCCAGUCGCGCAGAACCCACCCCCCUGACUCCAAAGCUACAGAAAUACUGAAGAGAAUGUGCCGUUUGUCUCUGUAGCGCCCACAUUCCCUGAAAGACUCUCUCCUCCCCCCCUCCCUUCCUUGUCCAACUUUGUCCCUCCUUUGAGAGGCUCCUCUUCCUUUCAGAGCAGCCUAGAGACCCUGAGUACAGCCUGCUGACCCUGCAGGCAGCUUCUGCCAUGGAGCGGAGGGCGGUGCUCGUGCGCUUCUGUCCUGCGAGGGACGUGCACCGCCGCAGGGACCGUGUCUUUUCCCUCCAGCACCUGACGCUCUGCGACAUGGAGCACUUGUCCCUUAAGCGUUUGUCAUUGACCGAAAGGACUUAACAUGUUAGAGGGGCUGAGUAAGUAACAUGGGUUGGCUUUAUAGGGUUAAGACAUGAAUGCUGUGAGUGCAGAAGAGGGUGACAAGCCCGAGUGGUCCAGGGAGACUCUGCAGAGCAAGCAGAGAAUAUUGGGCUGGGCCUGGGAGGCUUCGUACAUUUAAAAUGGGCGGAGAACCCCAGGUGGAGUAGCUCUGUGCCCGUGACUGCUGCCAACCCAGCCGGUCUCUCGAAACAGGAAAACAGACCAGAGGGAGGGAGCCCUGCAGAGCCAGGCAGUGGGGGCAGCUUGUUUUAGUUGGAGCAGAGGGUUUGCCUAAAGGAAGGAGAGAAUGCCCUGGCAGAAGGAUGGACUUAGGAUGGAUUUAGGUGGUGGAAAGACCUCAAAUGCAGCGGGGUAUCUUGCCGGCAGCGGGCGCUGUGGAUUACUUUUGACAACCACGGUGACCUGAUGGAAGUGGUGUGGAAUGUGGGAGCUGCCCUGUGGCCCUGCCCUCGUUUUGCAUCACAGCCCACGGUCCAGGUGGUCACCACGAUGCUUAGGACCCAGGUGUGAAGCCCCUCGACUGCACAGCGCCUCACCUUGCAGGGCUGGACCUGCCGUAAACAACAGCUCUCCUUCUGGCGUUGCCCUUGACCUGGCUCUGAGCUGUUGAGGCUCUGGGUCCAUUCAGCUCUGUCCUGUCCCUCCACCCUCGUGACUGGCAAUGACCCGGAAGGGGGCAGCACCCCCGCAGCAGGUGGCCUCCAGAGCUGAGUCACUGCCCUGGGAAUGGUGCCCUGGUGAGGCUGGCUCAGGCAAAUGGGCGAGCUCUCCGCCCUGGCAGAGCCCAGAGCCCAGGAGAAAUGGAUUCCUUGUGCAUCUAGAGGCAUCACUGAGCUGAUAAGAAAGUGAAGUAAAGGCAGCUGGAGACCCAAAAGCAAACUGUCCCAAUGGUAGUUUCUAGCUGGGUCUUUGGCAGAGUCCAAAGCAUUUUUCUCACAAUUAAACGUAGGGGCCAUGGUUGUUUUAUUUGAACACACCAGAAUUAUCCAUUUACGGAUACCCUUAAGAAUGGAAUGCAAAGGAGUUUAAGAUAAUGUCUUAAGAUUCUUUUUGACCUUGUAAAUUACAAGCGCUUAAGGAAUGAGCUUAAGGAUUAAAAUGAUCUGGAGAGUUAUUCUUGGAAAUUAGUAAAUGAAGUUUAGGUCGUUGUUUUUUGUUUUUUUUUUAACACGUUUUCUUUAUCAUUCCUAAAUACUCUGAUGGAUAUUGUUUUUUGAAAAUGAUCCUGCUUUUAAUUCAUCACAGAGAAGAUAGAAAUAUAGUGUUGCUUUUGAAAGGAGGGUUUUUUGGGUGGUUUUUUUCCCCCUAAGUCUGGCUUGUUUACUACACCAAUGAAUAGAGAUGACCUCAGUGUAAAAAAAACAAGCUAACCAUACUCUCUCUCCUUGCCUGGCAAAAAAAGGCCUUUAUCAAGUAGCAAAAGACAGCAAGUCAGACCACCAAGUCAUCAUUUUAGCUGAUUAGAUUUUCCAAAAGACAGAACAGAAAGCUCUCCACGUUUUCACCGCUGAGCAGUGGCUCUUGGGAAAUACUCCCAACUCAGUUUCUGUAAAACCUUAAAAAGUCUGGUGACAGUUACUCAGACAGCUGCCCGAAUGCAGAUGCUACAGAUGUGGUUGCCCAUGCCCUCGCCCCUGUGAGAUUUCAGAAUGGGAGAAAAUAGCAUCACGUCUCUUGCUUUUUGAGUACGAAAUUUUUUAAUUAAAAAAGAAAAAAAAAGCCGAAUUCUUUGUUCCUUUACAGGCCAGGUGCCCAGUUAAUUCUCUGCAGCAGAAGUGUCCCUGGGGGCCCAAACCCAGUCAGUGUCUGUGUGCUCUGACUGUCCUGGGGCGGUUUUCAGCAAGUCCCUGGACCUCAACUACUUAGUUCCCAAAGAUGCUGUGAGCCUGUGGCUUGGAAGUUAGGUUUUUCUCUGUUAUGUUGUUUGUUUACUUUCCAUGAGCCACACAGAAAUCUGGUUGGACAGUCGAAGGGUUCCCAGUUUCUCUCGGGGGAAGAAUUCAAGCGGAUUCUACCAGAGACCAGAACCAUAUCCUGUCUCCUACAACCUUUGUGGUUUCAGAUCAAUAGAGGCCAAAUUGAAAUGCAUUGGAAGUUCAAUUGACUUUAGGAUCCACUCCAGUCCAAAUAAUCUCUAGACUCACUGCAUUUGGGCGUGUGGUUUGGGGAAAGAGGUUUUUUUUUUUUUUUAAAGGAGGGUAGCUUUAUUCUUUAUUUUUUGACCUAUGUGGGAAGGGAGAACUGACCUGAUUUGGGGGAGAGGUUACAAAAAAGUCAGUCCCGGUGAAAGACUGGUGAGCAUUCUGCCCCCACCUGAGGACGGCCUGCGCCUGUGAAAAAGCCGGGGAAGGGACCGACGUGACAGCGUUGACGCAUCCUGGCGUCAGAAGGCCUUGGGGAAGCUCUCAGGCCCUGAUGAGUUAAAAAAGCAGAGGCAGCCAGUCAGCGAGUGCCCGCCUGGGCACGGAUUUGUUUAUCCUGCCCUUCUGAAGUCAGAGCCAACAUUCUUCAUGGCUUUGAAUGAUCCGGAAUGUUUCUCUCUUGGCAGGGCCGGCUUUGCACACACAGGCGUGUGUACGACUCAGGCCCCCCGAGAUGUGGGCCAAAGCAGAGCCAGCCUCAGCCGAGGUGUCGCAUCUCAGAAUCGUCUUGUUUUAGAGCAAAAGGGAAACUGUCACACACAGCUGCUUGUGGCAGAGAUGGAGAGACCGAACCUGGGUGGUGGUGGCCAGAGGUCACGGAACUGGAGGAGGGCCAGCGGGAGCCAGGCCGCCCGCCUCUGACCGCACGGCUCCUGUCCAAGCCCGGGGAGAGGCUCCAGGGCGCCCUUGGCCUCCCAGCGGGAGAGGCCGCUGCCCUUUGAGGAAUGCUUAGAAAAUGACUUGGGUCAGAAAGGAGAGCCUCAUUUUUACAAAAUGAAACAAAUCAGUCAUUUAUUCGUCAUAGGCAGCUUUUCCCAAACCUCCUUUGUCAGUGCAGCCAAUUUAUUAGCUCCUGGGCUCCCAGAAAUAAGAAAAACACUGUCUCUAUCUGUGCGCCAAAAUGGGAGACUCGACCUACUCCCCCCCACGUUUCUUUUCUCCUUUUGUAGAUGAGAACUAACUAUUUCACGCUAGUUCUUAAUAAAACAAACGCCGACUCCUUCCCGCAGGAGACAGAAUUGAGCAAUGUUCUGAGAACACGCUGUGCUCCUUGGGGCACUGAGUCAAUGUGCUGUUUUAGAAGAUGCUCCAGAAGCUUGGAAGUGCCUCUUGGGAGCGAAGCGAAAGGGGUGGAGCCGGGAGCAGUGACUCACCCUUCCUGCCCGGCGGCGGCGGCGGCGGGGAGGCCGGGCCUCCAGGAGCCUGGGCCCCAGGAGUCCCGGCUGGGCCCACGCGCCUCCGUGUCCUCUGGCCCCACCACCUCUGCAUCCAUGAGAGCUGCGGAAGAGGCUCUCUCCUCCUGGCCCUCUGCCCGCCACUUCCCGGAACCCUGGGAGGACGAUGUCGCCUGUAUUUGUAUAAGGACAACCUCCUGAGCCGAGAGACGGUCACUUACCUGAGGAGGAAGAGCCAGUCAGAGCUCACGGGCCGCAGGGGGCUUCCGGGAGGCGCUGGGGCUGCAUCUACGGCUUUGUUGUGUAAACGGCAUGGUCGUUGUUACCAGCGAGAAGCGAGUCCCUCAGUCCCAGUAACAGUAAAUGCCAGCUGCCUCCCAGUCCAGGGAGACGGUGCCGCCGGGAAGACCAGCCCGUGACCAGCUUCUGGCAUGACUUGAAGAAAAAAAUCACCAUGUUUCCUGCACCUCAUCACCGGUGUUGCCUUCGUCUUUCAGUGCUGGCUCUAACCGUGUGGCUGUUGGUUAAUCCCUCCACGAGAGAUGGACUGUCCCCCGGACGUGGCCCAAGUUGGUCCCAUACACACUGUUUUCCUUCGGAGCCCUUGUCACAUCCUGUCGUCAUCGGUUUGCUUACACUGGACUCACCUGCCUUGUUUGCUCUCGUGGCCCCUGAGCCUCAUUCACCUCCUGGUACCUCAUAAUCUCGGUGAACCUGUGACUCGUGAACAGGUGUGCGUGGCUGGAGUACCUCAUCCCAGCUUCUGAUCCUACCUGUCUUUUCCUGGACUCGGACACCCUGGCUGAUUUGCUAUCCUUUCCUCCAGAGAAGCCCCCAGAUCCACAGCUUCUACACACUGAUGCCCGAUAUUUGUCUUUCCUACCAAUUUCCACAUGCUGACUGUAACACCUAUGGAAAUGUUAUCCAGAACGUUCGAUUCUGCAGUGUUCCCCGUUCCCAGGAACAGGGGAUGGGGAGUGGGGGGUACCAUUUCUUGAAGAGCUAUGUACCUGUGCCUUAUUUGAGAUACUUACAGGUUCACGACUCUGAGAAUCAACACUAUUAUUUCCACUUUACCAAUAAAGAAACAAAAGCUCAAAAAAGGAUCGAAUAGCUUGUCCAAGCUGCAUAAGGAAAAUCUGAAUCCUGGUCUUGCCGAUCUCAAAGCUUACACGGCUCGUCAGUCUGCCCCCAGUUUAAGCAGGCCGUUAAAUCGGAGGUUGCUUAAUAGCCCUUGACGUGAAAAAGGCAGCACACAGGUACUAACUCAGAUAAGCUACUUCUCGGGAGGAAAGGUGGAGAUCAGGCAAAGAUAUUAUCGGUAGACCGAUUCCAAGCAAGGAUUGACAGAGGUCAGCCUCUAAAACCGUAAAGCUUCAAGAGGAAGACCAUUAGCCCCUAAGAAGCCCGCCUUUGGGGCCCUCUGUGUCAGGGGGCUGACGGCGGGGCGUGGACGUCGACCCCUGACCCCUCUGGAGAAGGUGGCAGGAACCCCGUGAGGGAAGCCCACUCACUGGCUGUCGCUCCCCCUUUUGGCGAUGCUGGGAGCAGCCCUCAGCCCUCCCUGUGUUCAGGGGAGAGCAGCUAUAGAAGGUGCAGGUCUCCAGCGCUCAUGGGAGGGGAGAGGCACGGCGCCGGCCGUUCGCGGGCGCUGUCAGGCUCACACCCUCAGAGCUGAGAAGUCUCAUUGCCGCCUCGGAUGGUGCUCCUGACCCAGCCUGCCCGUGCUCCGUCUCCCCACCUGUAGGCGAUGCCCGUGCACCGGAGUCUUUGCAGGCUGAGACCCAGGCCACAGGACCCUUCCCGGCCCCUUCAAGGAGAAUCAUGCUGCAGCGUGAGGUUUUGUCACCUGCUUGGACCAGAGGCUUAAAUGAACUGUUCCACAUACUUUUCCAAAUACUGGAAAGCUCCCAGAAAACAAUAGGCUGGCGCUCCCUGCAGUCUGAAGCACGGUUACUGUCACAAAGGGACAGAGCUCUUCCGUGACUUGGGUCCUUUCCUCGUGUGUAUGAUGGGACAACUCUGGAAGCAUGCUCUCUUUUUAUAACAGUGUUUUAAAAUAUUCCA